AAUCAACGCUGGCGGCGUGCCUAACACAUGCAAGUCGAACGAGAAAGUGGAGCAAUCCAUGAGUAAAGUGGCGACCGGGUGAGUAACACGUGACUAACCUACCCUAAAGUGGGGAAUAACCUCGGGAAACCGGGGCUAAUACCGCAUAACAUUGCGCGGCUGAAAGGCCAUGCAUUCAAAGGAGCAAUUCGCUUUAGGAGGGGGUCGCGGUUGAUUAGCUAGUUGGUGAGGUAAUGGCNCACCAAGGCGAUGAUCAAUAGCCGGCCUGAGAGGGCGCACGGCCACACUGGAACUGAAACAACGGUCCAGACUCCUACGGGAGGGCAGCAGUGGGGAA
This 337-nucleotide ribosomal RNA is filed under the name uncultured bacterium. RNAcentral describes it as "bacterial SSU rRNA". It matches the Rfam family "Bacterial small subunit ribosomal RNA", at positions 32 to 361 of the family's 1533-position model. The record is from RNAcentral.